UUCGUCCAUGUCCCUGUAAAGGACAUGAACUCAUUCUUUUUUAUGGCUGCAAAGCACUUUUUUUUUAAACACCCCAGUCACAUGCAGUCGGUCACAGAGACUCAGGGACACGCUGGUAGAACCCCAUCUCCAUUUUACUUAUGGGUAGACACACAUGUUCCCACGCACCCCACCCCUCCUCCUGGCCCAGCCUCACCUCCUCCUGUGUGGGGUGAGGGCAGGGAACAGAUGAGGAUAGGAGCAGGCGGGGAAUGAAUGGGGCUUUGGUAGGUCCUGAGCCUCCCCCAACUGCCACAUACUUUCUCAGGCCCGCCCUGGGAACCCCUCCCCAGCUGAGGAGGUAGGUGAGAGCCGCUGCUGUCUGUGGGCUGCCAGCCCACUAUGUUCUUCUGCAACCAGGAGGGCCGACAUGGGCUGUGUGUGUACUAGGGGGUGUCACGAGUUCACUCAGUAAACCCUCCCCUGUGGGGUGCCAACCCUCUGCCUCUCACUCCUGAUGGAUGGCUCACGCUGCCACCGGGGACAAACCGCUCUGUGUGGGACCAGGGGUUGCAUUUCUCUCUGGGCCUGGGAUGCCUGGGGUCCGUGGGUCCCCACGGACCACUGGGCACGGACAAGCUGACCCCACCAGGCAGGGAGCAGCCAGAGAGAAUGAAGGGCAAGGAGGCGGCUGAGGCAGAGGGAGUCGGCGAGAGGUGCAGGACAUCGGUGGACUCGGCCCCUGAUCUUGCAGACAUUUCUGCAGCAAGUGCUUAUUGAACACCGACGGCAUACCAAGGACCCAGCGGAGCCUGGGCCGGUCCGGAGCCUGGGCCGGCCCGGCGCUUCAGCGAUGCGGUGCCUUCUGUGAUUGACAUCUGCGGCAAGCGUUGCCGGCGGGGGUCCCAGGAGCUCCCCAGCCAAGGGCCGCGGGUACUGCAGGGCUGCGUGGGGCCGCAGUGCCCCCUGGCGGCAGAACGGGACAUGAAGGGACUCGGUGCGCGCCGCGUGGCUUGCAGCCCAGGUGCCCUGAGCCCACUUCCACGUGGGCACUCGCUUCCCCAUGGACGCGGCCCCUCUCUAGCAGGCCUCCUGGUGACAGCACUGGCUCCUGAGGCCACUGUCGGUGCCUGCCGGGACCCCACUGCCCUCCCUCCCCGAUUAGUCUGCAAGGCUGUCCCCUCUCCCAAGCUGUGGUUUGGGGUGUGCCAGGGAAUAGAGGUUUCAGGUCUCUCGGCCACUGCCCUGGCGCCUGGAUCUCAGACAGUCACCCUGGGGGCUGCCCAACAUGCCAGGGGAGCUGACACUUGGAGAGUUUCCUCAACAGGGACCCCAGGCUGUGCCUGAGGCCAGGGAGAAACACGCAUGAGGCCGUCCCACAGUCCCCACCGCCAGGAGCACGCCAUUCCUAUGUGGGCAAGAGGACCCCAGCAUGAUUUGAAAAUGACUACAUUGUUUCCAGUGAGAACCACGUAACAAUGGGCAAUAAAUGGUCUCCAGAUUUGCACUUUA
Rhinopithecus roxellana (golden snub-nosed monkey) is the source of this 1491-nucleotide long non-coding RNA. RefSeq lists it as uncharacterized. The transcript has 2 exons. NCBI's taxonomy places the organism in Eukaryota, Metazoa, Chordata, Mammalia, Primates, Cercopithecidae. The record is from RefSeq and is a predicted model, not a curated record.